This is a long non-coding RNA of Oreochromis aureus, 1350 nucleotides long. Lineage: Eukaryota; Metazoa; Chordata; Actinopteri; Cichliformes; Cichlidae. The record is from Ensembl.
UAUUGAUUCAACUUAUAGAAUUAAAUUUCUGCUAGUUGUUUUCUGUUGCAAAGAAAUCUAGUAUAAUAAUAUUUAAAUUUACAUAUAUAUCUUUCACGUUUUCAAUGCCAAUUUUGCGUAAUAACGGAGUUUCCCACUACCCGUGAAUGCCUCUUUUUUUACGUCGCCGGCUCACUCCUGCAUCUCCGCCCACUCUCUGCUGAUCCCUGCCGGCCCGAGUGAAAGAGAUCUUUGGUUUUGCCUUUGCUGACUGCUGAUCUGAUCGUCUCAAGUCUGGUGAGCUGCUGCAGAAGAUCCUCUCUCUCUAUCAUUAUAAGCAAUUCUGUCUAUCCUAUCACUCUCCCGACUCUAUCUAAUUUGACAGCCAUUCUAUCUUGUAUCCCUCUAUCCCUACUGCUCUAUCUAAUUUGACAGCCAUUCUAUCUUGUAUCCCUCUAUCCCAAGCGCUCUAUCUAAUUUCAGAAUCCAAGUUUUCAGAAAUCCAAGUACCAGUACUUGAUCUAUCUGUUACAGAAUUCUGAGAGAUCUCUGCUCUCACUGCUCCUUCUUUCCUGUCAUUAAACUCUCUCACAUUCAGUCAUUUUGCUGAAAAUUACAAUUAGAAAGUUGAAUAUACAGUAGUAGAAUAUCAGUACAGUAGAACUUAUAGUAGAAACUACUUAUACAGCCCUACAUUUGUAGUUUUAACUUGGCAUUACUCUUUGGAAUAAACACUGAUAGUUUGGCUUACUGGUGCAAUUACUUUGAUACAUUAUAUAAAAUAUACACCUUUUGAAAGGUUUAUUUGUAAUAAGAUAAUCUGACUAUUCUGUAAUAUAUUCAGAGUGCUAUAUUCACAUAAAUAUUAAAUUUGAUUCAAAUACAUUUUUCAAGUCUGUUUCAUUGGCUAUAAUAUUUGACUACAAGUUUAUACUAUUAUUAUCGAAGGACAAACCCUUUUUUGUCACUCAGUGUAAGUGUUCAGUUAGAAUUGUCAUCUAGAGGCUGCCCUGAGAACCCAGACUUCCUGUUUCCUGACUGCUGCAGAACAUCCAGCUGAAGACUCCCCAUCGCCUGUCAUCUGAUCACCACACCAUCACAGCUCCUUAUAUUUGCUUUAAAUUUUAAAUAUCUUAAAGAUUUACACAAAGUCUACUUAAAAGCUAAGAUUUUUAUCAUAGCCUGUUGAUUGAUUGUUGAGAUUUAUUCUGCAUAUUACUUUACAGGAGUAUAGACCUAUUUGUUAUCCAGUCUGGUUAAAAAAAAAUAUAAGUAAUAAUAUACAGUUUUUGAAAAAGUUACAAUAAAACAGACCAAAGUGUUUUCAAAGAACUUUAAAUAACUUUUAUAUUGAGUUUGUAUUUAAGUCAG